AUCGCGAUAGCUUGCUAUUGCGGAUGGCGACCGGCGCACGGGUGAGUAACGCGUAUCCAACCUUCCCGCAACUGGGGAAUAACCUUGCGAAAGUAAGACUAAUACCCAAUGAUAUCUCUAGAAGACAUCUGAAGGAGAUUAAAGAUUUAUCGGUGAUGGAUGGGGAUGCGUCUGAUUAGCUUGUUGGCGGGGUAACGGCCCACCAAGGCAUCGAUGGGUAGGGGUUCUGAGAGGAAGGUCCCCACAUUGGAACUGAGACACGGUCCAAACUCC
Molecule: ribosomal RNA, 273 nt
Filed under: uncultured Prevotella sp.
Lineage: Bacteria; Pseudomonadati; Bacteroidota; Bacteroidia; Bacteroidales; Prevotellaceae
Description: partial 16S ribosomal RNA
Rfam family: Bacterial small subunit ribosomal RNA
Source: RNAcentral